UGGGGAAUUUUCCGCAAUGGGUGAAAGCCUGACGGAGCAAUACCGCGUGAGGGAGGAAGGCUUUUGGGUUGUAAACCUCUUUUCUCAAGGAAGAAGAUCUGACGGUACUUGAGGAAUCAGCAUCGGCUAACUCCGUGCCAGCAGCCGCGGUAAUACGGAGGAUGCAAGCGUUAUCCGGAAUGAUUGGGCGUAAAGCGUCUGCAGGUAGCUAUGCAAGUCUGCUGUUAAAGAGUGGAGCUCAACUCCAUAAGGGCAGUGGAAACUGCGUAACUAGAGUACGUUCGGGGUAGAGGGAAUUCCUGGUGUAGCGGUGAAAUGCGUAGAUAUCAGGAAGAACACCGGUGGCGAAAGCGCUCUACUGGGCCGCAACUGACGCUCAGGGACGAAAGCUAGGGGAGCGAAAGGGAUUAGAUACCCGUGAAGUCC
This 426-nucleotide ribosomal RNA is filed under the name uncultured prokaryote. RNAcentral describes it as "bacterial SSU rRNA". It matches the Rfam family "Bacterial small subunit ribosomal RNA", at positions 355 to 796 of the family's 1533-position model. The record is from RNAcentral.